AAAAGAAACCAACAGGGAUUGCCCUAGUAACGGCGAGUGAAGCGGCAACAGCUCAAAUUUGAAAUCUGGCUCUUUCAGAGUCCGAGUUGUAAUUUGCAGAGGGCGCUUUGGCAUUGGCAGCGGUCCAAGUUCUUUGGAACAGGACGUCACAGAGGGUGAGAAUCCCGUACGUGGUCGCUAGCCUUUGCCGUGUAAAGCCCCUUCGACGAGUCGAGUUGUUUGGGAAUGCAGCUCUAAAUGGGAGGUAAAUUUCUUCUAAAGCUAAAUACUGGCCAGAGACCGAUAGCGCACAAGUAGAGUGAUCGAAAGAUGAAAAGCACUUUGGAAAGAGAGUCAAACAGCACGUGAAAUUGUUGAAAGGGAAGCGCUUGCAGCCAGACUUGCCUGUAGUUGCUUAUCUGGACUUUUGUCCAGUGCACUCUUCUGCGGGCAGGCCAGCAUCAGUUUGGGCGGUUGGAUAAAGGUCUCUGUCAUGUACCUCUCUUCGGGGAGGCCUUAUAGGGGAGACGACAUGCAACCAGCCUGGACUGAGGUCCGCGCAUUUGCUAGGAUGCUGGCGUAAUGGCUGUAAGCGGCCCGUCUUGAAACACGGACCAAGGAGUCUAACAUCUAUGCGAGUGUUUGGGUGUCAAGCCCAGACGCGUAAUGAAAGUGAACGGAGGUGGGAACCCUUUGGGUGCACCAUCGACCGAUCCUGAUGUCUUCGGAAGGAUUUGAGUAAGAGCAUGGCUGUUGGGACCCGAAAGAUGGUGAACUAUGCUUGAAUAGGGUGAAGCCAGAGGAAACUCUGGUGGAGGCUCGCAGCGGUUCUGACGUGCAAAUCGAU
RNAcentral lists this ribosomal RNA (826 nucleotides) under Phaeosphaeriopsis sansevieriae. RNAcentral's name for it is "partial large subunit ribosomal RNA". It matches the Rfam family "Eukaryotic large subunit ribosomal RNA", at positions 57 to 902 of the family's 3401-position model. The record is from RNAcentral. Lineage: Eukaryota; Fungi; Ascomycota; Dothideomycetes; Pleosporales; Phaeosphaeriaceae.